This is a long non-coding RNA of Columba livia (rock pigeon), 1839 nucleotides long. RefSeq lists it as uncharacterized. The transcript has 4 exons. The record is from RefSeq and is a predicted model, not a curated record. NCBI's taxonomy places the organism in Eukaryota, Metazoa, Chordata, Aves, Columbiformes, Columbidae.
UUCUUAGUAAUAUAAUUUGGAUAUUCAGGAUAGAGUGUUCCUUCCUCUGAGACCAUGCAGAGAAUCAAGGAAGUGCUGGCAUUAGAGGCUGUUUAACACACAGCCUAUCUUAAUUGUUGCUUGAGCCUCCAUGGCACUUUUCACAGUUAAUAUAUUCAUUUUGGCAAUCUAGCCAGUGGUGUAUUUAGGAAAUUGCAGUUUUCCUAUAUAAAAUUUCCUAUUCAAAAUAUAACUGGAAAAUAUACUAAUUCUUCCCUAUUGCAUACCAUAGACUACUGAGAGACAGUUUUAGCUUUAUCGUUUCUGAUGUGGACUCCUCUCUAGCUCCUAAAUUAAUUAAACGAAACCAAUGGGAUAGAUUAAAAUUCACAUUGGCUUCAGGAAAAAAAGUAACCCUUGUCUAUCGCAGGAGGCUGGCAGCAACAGAUUACAGAUUUAGGAAGCCUUGUUCCUGGUCUUUUCUACAGUUUCAUUAAAAAACAUGCACGCUAACUGUGGAAAUGGGAGGCAACCUACAAAAAAUGUGUUAUUAUGAGAGUCUGAGACAUUGUAUUUGUGCAUACAGCAGGGAAAACUUUAUUGAAAUGACUGCUAAAAGCAGCCCAAGAGCAAUGUGGGGAAUGAGAGGGAGGAAAAUCCAGAGCCAGUGUCUCGUAAGGAGAGCAGUGGAGUUGGAGUCAGACGUGCAGAAAGGAGAAGAGGUGAGGGUCAGAAAGAUAGAAAGGAGAGAGAGCAGCACUGGGAGAAGACAUGAGAAAUUAGAUCAGAAUCUAAAAGCACUCAGGAGAGCAAGGGAAAAGGCAGAAAUUAGAACAGGAGCUAAGAGGAGAGCCGAAGAGGCAAUAAAAACUCAAGGAGGAGAAAGAAAAACUGCAAGAUGAAGGGAGGAGGACGAGAAAAAAAAGACAGGAGAUAUAUAUGAGGCAACAUAAAAGGCCCUUGACCUCCAGUUUGUAAAGGUGACGUGAUCUGUGCUGUGGAAGAAAAGAAAUACUUUGCAUUUUUUGAAAUGACCAUGAAGAGAGAACCAGGCUACAUCUCAGAAAUCAAUAUCGCAUUUUAUGCCUGCUGCACCCUUCACGAAGAAUCAAGACAACAUUGAUUCAAAAAGGAAAACUGAUGAGGAGAUGCUGAGCAUGUUACACAAGCCCACACAGGACCUCGGUCUCAAGUGAUGCUCAGGGAGAAGAACAGCACAUACGAGGAGGAGAGCCAGCAUGCCGGUGACCAAGAGACUACCACUAGAGAUAAAGCCUGGGGACCGUGUCAAGGGACAGAGAGAAGCUGAUGGAUCAGUCAGUAAAGCAAGCACCAUGCAUCCCUGUUGACCGCACAUCUUUGAAGGCAGAAGCCCUUUGGCCCCUGGUCGUGUUAGAAAGAUUUUGAACGUUAGUACAAGUAUUGUGCUUGUAUCUACUUUUUCUGAGUUUUGUUUUCUGUUUUGUUGGGGUUUUUUUACUAGGUAGAGACUUGUCUUUUUCUCAGUACCUUUCUAUGUAUUACUUGGAAGCAUCUAAAUGUGAGUAACUCACCUGGAAUCUGUAGAAGGAUAUUUGAAUGAUUCAUAUCUGAGACAAGAAUAACUUCUCAUGAAAUCCAGGAUGGAAAUGACUGCAUGGUUUAAAACACACCUUCCUGUAUCACUGCUGUUGCAGCAGGAAGGAAUGCUUCUGAGUAGUUUAAGUCCAAAUGACUAAAUAAAUUGUUUCAAAGCAACAGCAGUAGCACAGAGGGCAUAAGUUGCUGAUAUUAAGUAAUUACUAGACCUCAGUAUGUCAUCGAUUUCAUUUAAAAGAAAAAAAAAAUAAAGAUACAUAUAUAAAAAACACAUCUGUUAUC